GAAGGGUUAAAAUGACCGGAAGGCCAAAAUCUGUCGAACAGAUCACGUAAUGUGUCUAUGCGGAAGUGUGUAUCGGACUGGGUGUAGUCGUGUAUUGGGAAUAUAGAAAAGGGGAAAAGUAUAAAUGGGAUCAACAAACCACGGAUAGUCACAGCCUGGUUUUACAGUUGUCGUGAAAACAUAAACUCAAGAUGAAAUCAUUCGCCCUCGUCGCCAUUGCUCUGUUCGCCUGCCUCGGCAUGACCUUCGCCGCCUACUACGGCUACGGUUACCCCGGAUACGCUGCUAUCGGCGCCGGCAGCAGGGGAUCCGGCGGUCUCGGGGACAGCGGACUGCUGAUGCUGAUCGGCCUACUCUUCCUCCUGACGUUCCUGUUCAACAGCAAUCUGUUCAACACCACCGCUACCACCACCAGCUCCGCCACCCCCAUCACACUCGUCCAGGGUUAAAUGAUUAAUGGUUGCAGAAUGCCGUCAGAUGUCAAGGAAAAGUUCGUCUGUCUGCUAUUUAUUUAUUGUUAUUGUUGAAUAAAA
Long non-coding RNA from Dreissena polymorpha, 533 nucleotides. RefSeq lists it as uncharacterized. NCBI's taxonomy places the organism in Eukaryota, Metazoa, Mollusca, Bivalvia, Myida, Dreissenidae. The transcript has 4 exons. The record is from RefSeq and is a predicted model, not a curated record.